UAAUACCGGAUGAUACUUCCUCCCGCAUGGGGGGAGGUUGAAAGCUCCGGCGGUGCAGGAUGAGCCCGCGGCCUAUCAGCUUGUUGGUGGGGUGAUGGCCUACCAAGGCGACGACGGGUAGCCGGCCUGAGAGGGCGACCGGCCACACUGGGACUGAGACACGGCCCAGACUCCUACGGGAGGCAGCAGUGGGGAAUAUUGCACAAUGGGCGAAAGCCUGAUGCAGCGACGCCGCGUGAGGGAUGACGGCCUUCGGGUUGUAAACC
Molecule: ribosomal RNA, 266 nt
Filed under: Streptomyces sp. 171-3.1-CV-H(h)-16
Lineage: Bacteria; Bacillati; Actinomycetota; Actinomycetes; Kitasatosporales; Streptomycetaceae
Description: partial 16S ribosomal RNA
Rfam family: Bacterial small subunit ribosomal RNA
Source: RNAcentral